RNAcentral lists this ribosomal RNA (450 nucleotides) under uncultured bacterium. Its description in RNAcentral is "bacterial SSU rRNA". It matches the Rfam family "Bacterial small subunit ribosomal RNA", at positions 354 to 796 of the family's 1533-position model. The record is from RNAcentral.
GUGGGGAAUUUUGGACAAUGGGCGAAAGCCUGAUCCAGCAAUGCCGCGUGUGUGAAGAAGGCCUUCGGGUUGUAAAGCACUUUUGUCCGGAAAGAAAUGGCUCUGGUUAAUACCUGGGGUCGAUGACGGUACCGGAAGAAUAAGGACCGGCUAACUACGUGCCAGCAGCCGCGGUAAUACGUAGGGUCCAAGCGUUAAUCGGAAUUACUGGGCGUAAAGCGUGCGCAGGCGGUUGUGCAAGACCGAUGUGAAAUCCCCGAGCUUAACUUGGGAAUUGCAUUGGUGACUGCACGGCUAGAGUGUGUCAGAGGGGGGUAGAAUUCCACGUGUAGCAGUGAUAUGCGUAGAGAUGUGGAGGAAUACCGAUGGCGAAGGCAGCCCCCUGGGAUAACACUGACGCUCAUGCACGAAAGCGUGGGGAGCAAACAGGAUUAGAAACCCCAGUAGUCC